GUAGUAUUUGAUCAUAGUACUAAAAUUUAAGUUUGGGUUGGUGCACAUAGUAUUAUAUUGAGUUAAGGGGCUAGUGUCCCACCCUUAGUGCAAAGAAUUGAGCAAUUUGAGAAAUCUAGACUCAGUGGCUUGAGAGGUAAGUGGCUAAUUUGGAUGCCAGCAGCUGCGGUUAUAUCCUUACUUAUUUGAAUUUUAACGGUUUUGUUAGAUGCAAAAAAGAAAAGCUUUCUGCAGGCACCUUCAAGUGGUUAAAUGCGAUGGAGUGUUUUGGAGUGGUUGAGAGUUAAAAUGUUUCUUACUUAGGUGCGGACGAAAACCGGGAUUUGGUACUCCGUUAUUCGUGAGGUAAAAUUGUUUUACCAGAUGACUAUAAGUUGAAUCUUAAAAGUUAAAUGAUUAGGCGGUCUCUAAAAAACAAACAGGGGAAUCUGGGGGUUAAAAGAUGUUCCACUUUAAUUUGUUCCUUGGCUUAAGUAUGCAUAUGUAUGGUUGUUUAGGUAAUCGAUAUAUGAGAAGUAUUGGUCUAAUUUUUCAGGUUGAAGGAGGAAUUCAGAUUAACAUGUAGCUAUGCUAAGGCUUUCCUGGAUGACAGUUGAAAUUUCCACGUCGAAAGAGGAUAAUAAAUUGUAAUCUUGAAGGCGGACUUGUAAGUAAAAUUCUCUUAUAUUGUGAUUUUGAAAUGAGACGUAGAGGAGUACUAAUCGCCCGUCGCUCGCGGAGGAAUCUGAGAUAAGUCGUAACAAGGUAACAGUACCGGAAGGUGCUGUUAAAUCAGU
RNAcentral lists this non-coding RNA (776 nucleotides) under Modiolus modiolus (northern horsemussel). Lineage: Eukaryota; Metazoa; Mollusca; Bivalvia; Mytilida; Modiolidae. The record is from RNAcentral.